This 30-nucleotide small nuclear RNA is filed under the name Arabidopsis thaliana (thale cress). RNAcentral's name for it is "snRNA_15607". The record is from RNAcentral. Lineage: Eukaryota; Viridiplantae; Streptophyta; Magnoliopsida; Brassicales; Brassicaceae.
ACUGCUCGAGCUGCUUCCGCGGCGAGAGCG